AGAGUUUGAUCCUGGCUCAGGAUGAACGCUAGCGGCAGGCUUAAUACAUGCAAGUCGAGGGGUAACAUGGUAGCAAUACUGAUGACGACCGGCAAACGGGUGCGGAACACGUACAGAACCUUCCUUUAAGCGGGGAAUAGCCCAGAGAAAUUUGGAUUAAUACCCCAUAGUAUUAUUUGAUGGCAUCAUUAGAUAAUUAAAGAUUUAUCACUUAAAGAUGGCUGUGCAGCUGAUUAGGUAGUUGGUGUAGGUAAAGGCUCACCAAGCCUGCGAUCAGUAACUGGUGUGAGAGCACGACCAGUCACACGGGCACUGAGACACGGGCCCGACUCCUACGGGAGGCAGCAGUAAGGAAUAUUGGUCAAUGGACGAAAGUCUGAACCAGCCAUGCCGCGUGAAGGAUGAAGGCCCUCUGGGUUGUAAACUUCUUUUAUAGGGGAAGAAAUGCAUUUUUUCUAAAGUGUUUGACGGUACCCUAGGAAUAAGCACCGGCUAACUCCGUGCCAGCAGCCGCGGUAAUACGGAGGGUGCAAGCGUUAUCCGGAUUCACUGGGUUUAAAGGGUGCGUAGGUGGGUCUGUAAGUCAGUGGUGAAAUCUCCAGGCUUAACCUGGAAACUGCCAUUGAUACUAUAGGUCUUGAAUUUUCUGGAGGUCAGCGGAAUAUGUCAUGUAGCGGUGAAAUGCUUAGAUAUGACAUAGAACACCGAUUGCGAAGGCAGCUGGCUACAGGAACAUUGACACUGAGGCACGAAAGCGUGGGGAUCAAACAGGAUUAGAUACCCUGGUAGUCG
Molecule: ribosomal RNA, 792 nt
Filed under: uncultured bacterium
Lineage: Bacteria
Description: bacterial SSU rRNA
Rfam family: Bacterial small subunit ribosomal RNA
Source: RNAcentral